GAUGAACGCUGGCGGCGUGCCUAAUACAUGCAAGUCGAGCGAACAGACGAGGAGCUUGCUCCUCUGACGUUAGCGGCGGACGGGUGAGUAACACGUGGAUAACCUACCUAUAAGACUGGGAUAACUUCGGGAAACCGGAGCUAAUACCGGAUAACAUUUUGAACCGCAUGGUUCAACAGUGAAAGACGGUUUUGCUGUCACUUAUAGAUGGAUCCGCGUCGCAUUAGCUAGUUGGUAAGGUAACGGCUUACCAAGGCAACGAUGCGUAGCCGACCUGAGAGGGUGAUCGGCCACACUGGAACUGAGACACGGUCCAGACUCCUACGGGAGGCAGCAGUAGGGAAUCUUCCGCAAUGGGCGAAAGCCUGACGGAGCAACGCCGCGUGAGUGAAGAAGGUCUUCGGAUCGUAAAACUCUGUUAUUAGGGAAGAACAAAUGUGUAAGUAACUGUGCACGUCUUGACGGUACCUAAUCAGAAAGCCACGGCUAACUACGUG
This 497-nucleotide ribosomal RNA is filed under the name uncultured bacterium. RNAcentral describes it as "partial 16S ribosomal RNA". It matches the Rfam family "Bacterial small subunit ribosomal RNA", at positions 28 to 507 of the family's 1533-position model. The record is from RNAcentral.